AGUGAACGCUGGCGGUAGGCCUAACACAUGCAAGUCGAACGGCAGCACAGUAAGAGCUUGCUCUUACGGGUGGCGAGUGGCGGACGGGUGAGGAAUACAUCGGAAUCUACUUUUUCGUGGGGGAUAACGUAGGGAAACUUACGCUAAUACCGCAUACGACCUACGGGUGAAAGCAGGGGAUCUUCGGACCUUGCGCGAUUGAAUGAGCCGAUGUCGGAUUAGCUAGUUGGCGGGGUAAAGGCCCACCAAGGCGACGAUCCGUAGCUGGUCUGAGAGGAUGGUCGGCCCAAUGGGAACUGAGAAAGGGUCCAAACCCCUACGGAAGCCGGCGGUGGGGAAUAUUGGAAAAGGGGGGCAAGCUGGAUCAAGCAAUACCGGGUGGGUGAAGAAGGCCUCCGGGUUGUAAAGCCUUUUUGUUGGGAAGAAAAGCAGCAGGUUAAUACCCCGCUGUUCUGACGGUACCCAAAGAAUAAGCACCGGCUAACUUCGUG
RNAcentral lists this ribosomal RNA (491 nucleotides) under uncultured bacterium. RNAcentral's name for it is "partial 16S ribosomal RNA". It matches the Rfam family "Bacterial small subunit ribosomal RNA", at positions 29 to 507 of the family's 1533-position model. The record is from RNAcentral.